Molecule: small RNA, 317 nt
Filed under: Pan troglodytes (chimpanzee)
Lineage: Eukaryota; Metazoa; Chordata; Mammalia; Primates; Hominidae
Description: retained intron
Source: RNAcentral
GCAUCAAUAAAGCUCUGGAUAGGACCAAACGUCAGGGAGCAUCUUUCAUUGGAAUCCUGGAUAUUGCUGGAUUUGAAAUUUUUGAGCUGAACUCCUUUGAGCAACUUUGCAUCAACUACACCAAUGAGAAGCUGCAGCAGCUGUUCAACCACACCAUGUUUAUCCUGGAACAAGAGGAAUACCAGCGCGAAGGCAUCGAGUGGAACUUCAUCGAUUUCGGGCUGGAUCUGCAGCCAUGCAUCGACCUGAUAGAGAGACCUGUAAGAGUGCUCACUUGCUCGCUGUCUUUCAUUUUCCACUCAAGCAGUGACCUUAAG